This 160-nucleotide unclassified non-coding RNA is filed under the name uncultured Conlarium. RNAcentral's name for it is "sequence contains ITS2". The record is from RNAcentral. Lineage: Eukaryota; Fungi; Ascomycota; Sordariomycetes.
CAACCCUCAAGCGCUUUAGUGCUUGGUGUUGGGGCUUCUGCUUGUAGCAGGCCCUGAAAGAUAGUGGCGAGCUCGCCGUGACCCUGAGCGUAGUAGUUUACACCUCGCUUCUGUGGCUCGCGGCGGGUUCUCAGCCGUGAAAACCCCCUAAUUUUUACAA